This 27-nucleotide non-coding RNA is filed under the name Mus musculus (house mouse). Lineage: Eukaryota; Metazoa; Chordata; Mammalia; Rodentia; Muridae. The record is from RNAcentral.
UUGGAACUGAUAAAGAUGUUUUUGGGC